GCUAGGAAUUUUGCGCAAUGGGGGCAACCCUGACGCAGCGACACAGCGUGGAGGAGGAAGGUCUUCGGAUUGUAAACUCCUUUUAUAUGGGAAGAAUAGAUGACUGUACCAUAUGAAUAAGCACCUGCUAACUACGUGCCAGAAGCAUCGGUGAUGCGUAGGGUGCGAACGUUAUCCGGAUUUAUUGGGCGUAAAGAGAUGCGUAGGCGUUUCAGUUAGUCUUUCGUUAAAAGUCACGGCUUAACCGUGAAGAUGCGUUGGAUACUGCUGAAAUUGAGACAUGCAUGGGUGAACGGAACUCCAAGUGGAGCGGUGAAAUGCGUUGAUAUUUGGAAGAACAUCAGAGGCGAAGGCGGUUCACUGGUCAUUGUCUGACGCUAAGGCUCGAAAGCGUGGGUAGCAAAACGGAUUAGAUACCCGUGUAGUCC
This 428-nucleotide ribosomal RNA is filed under the name uncultured bacterium. Its description in RNAcentral is "partial 16S ribosomal RNA". It matches the Rfam family "Bacterial small subunit ribosomal RNA", at positions 354 to 796 of the family's 1533-position model. The record is from RNAcentral.